This is a non-coding RNA of Dipodomys ordii (Ord's kangaroo rat), 65 nucleotides long. The record is from Rfam. NCBI's taxonomy places the organism in Eukaryota, Metazoa, Chordata, Mammalia, Rodentia, Heteromyidae.
GGUGGCUCAGUGGUAGAGUACAUGUCUUGCAUGCAUGAGGCCCUGGGUUCAAUUCCUCAGUACUA